This 317-nucleotide long non-coding RNA is filed under the name Pan troglodytes (chimpanzee). RNAcentral describes it as "long non-coding RNA NONPTRT006373". Lineage: Eukaryota; Metazoa; Chordata; Mammalia; Primates; Hominidae. The record is from RNAcentral.
GUAACAGAUGGCCCCUGCUUUCCAGGGCGUGGAGGACAGCACUUGGGGAGUGGGCCUCACUCCAAGGUGCCCGGGAAGAGAGCUGUUACCAACAGAAGUGUGGAUGCCUGUCACUUAAGUGUUUCACUGCACGGGUCUGCGGGAAUCAUUCAGUAAGAUUCUAGAAGCAUUCAUGGGACAUCUAUUCAUGCCAGGCCCGGGCAUGGGCACUGCAGAGCCCACAACAAGUGGACAAAGCACAGCUAGUCUCUGCUGCAAGGGCACACCUGGCAAAAUCAGGUCCCCACAAAGCCAGGACAAAAACCAUGGGAACCCUG